Molecule: ribosomal RNA, 653 nt
Filed under: uncultured fungus
Lineage: Eukaryota; Fungi
Description: eukaryotic LSU rRNA
Rfam family: Eukaryotic large subunit ribosomal RNA
Source: RNAcentral
ACCCGCUGAACUUAAGCAUAUCAAUAAGCGGAGGAAAAGAAACUAACAAGGAUUCCCCUAGUAACGGCGAGUGAAGCGGGAUGAGCUCAAAUUUAAAAUCUGGCGGCCUCAGGUCAUCCGAGUUGUAAUCUAGAGAAGCGUUUUCCGCGUUGGCCUGUGUACAAGUCCCUUGGAAUAGGGCGUCAUAGAGGGUGAGAAUCCCGUCCUUGACACAGAUCCCAAUGCUUUGUGAUACGCUCUCAAAGAGUCGAGUUGUUUGGGAAUGCAGCUCAAAAUGGGUGGUAAAUUCCAUCUAAAGCUAAAUAUUGGCGAGAGACCGAUAGCGAACAAGUACCGUGAGGGAAAGAUGAAAAGCACUUUGGAAAGAGAGUUAAACAGUACGUGAAAUUGUUGAAAGGGAAACGAUUGAAGUCAGUCAUGCUUCUCUGGAUUCAGCUUGUUCUACAAGUGUAUUUCCAGUUUUGCAGGCCAGCAUCAGUUUUGUUUGAUGGAAAAAGCUUGAGGAACGUGGCAACCCCGGUUGUGUUAUAGCCUCUUUGCGCAUACAUCAAAUGGGACUGAGGAACGCAGUGUGCCUUUAUGGUCGGUCUUCGGACACGUACGCACUUAGGAUGCUGGCAUAAUGGCUUUAAACGACCCGUCUUGAAACACGG